Molecule: ribosomal RNA, 612 nt
Filed under: Salmonella enterica
Lineage: Bacteria; Pseudomonadati; Pseudomonadota; Gammaproteobacteria; Enterobacterales; Enterobacteriaceae
Also listed under: 1 other name
Description: partial 23S ribosomal RNA
Rfam family: Bacterial large subunit ribosomal RNA
Source: RNAcentral
AAUGCUUUGGGGUGGGGUGACUGCGUACCUUUUGUAUAAUGGGUCAGCGACUUAUAUUCUGUAGCAAGGUUAACCGAAUAGGGGAGCCGGAGGGAAACCGAGUCUUAAUUGGGCGUUAAGUUGCAGGGUAUAGACCCGAAACCCGGUGAUCUAGCCAUGGGCAGGUUGAAGGUUGGGUAACACUAACUGGAGGACCGAACCGACUAAUGUUGAAAAAUUAGCGGAUGACCUGUGGCUGGGGGUGAAAGGCCAAUCAAACCGGGAGAUAGCUGGUUCUCCCCGAAAGCUAUUUAGGUAGCGCCUCGUGAAUUCAUCUCCGGGGGUAGAGCACUGUUUCGGCUAGGGGGCCAUCCCGGCUUACCAACCCGAUGCAAACUGCGAAUACCGGAGAAUGUUAUCACGGGAGACACACGGCGGGUGCUAACGUCCGUCGUGAAGAGGGAAACAACCCAGACCGCCAGCUAAGGUCCCAAAGUCAUGGUUAAGUGGGAAACGAUGUGGGAAGGCCCAGACAGCCAGGAUGUUGGCUUAGAAGCAGCCAUCAUUUAAAGAAAGCGUAAUAGCUCACUGGUCGAGUCGGCCUGCGCGGAAGAUGUAACGGGGCUAAACCAU